Molecule: ribosomal RNA, 245 nt
Filed under: uncultured bacterium
Lineage: Bacteria
Description: partial 16S ribosomal RNA
Rfam family: Bacterial small subunit ribosomal RNA
Source: RNAcentral
UACGUAGGUGGCAAGCGUUGUCCGGAUUUACUGGGCGUAAAGCGCACGCAGGCGGUCGUAUAAGUCGAAUGUGAAAGCCCCCGGCUCAACUGGGGAGGGUCAUUCGAUACUAUUCGACUAGAAGGCAGGAGAGGGAAGUGGAAUUCCCGGUGUAGUGGUGAAAUGCGUAGAUAUCGGGAGGAACACCAGUGGCGAAGGCGACUUCCUGGCCUGUUCUUGACGCUGAUGUGCGAAAGCUAGGGGAG